Non-coding RNA from Microcebus murinus (gray mouse lemur), 1163 nucleotides. The record is from RefSeq and is a predicted model, not a curated record. Lineage: Eukaryota; Metazoa; Chordata; Mammalia; Primates; Cheirogaleidae.
UGCAUCUCAGGGCCCUGCAGGAGCCCCCUCAACCCUGGAUUCCAGGGGAGCCAUCAGCAAAGCCACCACCCAGCUGGCCCUGGGCCUCUAGCAACAGCCCUACAAUCCCCCCUGAGGUGAGGGGGUGCAGCCCCCAGGGUGUCAGCACUGCAGCCUGCACAGAGGGGACCCUGAAACACCCAGGGACAGUUUUGCAUGUUAUUACUGAGGUGGGGCAGAAGCAACAGCUGGUUACUCAUCAGAUUAAAGACAAACAUAUAAUUUUCCCCUCUACACCAAAGUACCAAGAGCUCUAACUAUAACCAGCCCUUCAAAGCCCACUCUCCCAGGGAGCACUGAAGCUCUCUAUCUAACCAUUUUCUACAAGGGGAAGAAUCUAACCUGAUACUUAAUGGUCACGGCAACUCUGUAAUUUGAAAAUGCAAUUGUGACGGGGAAAGAGGGCAAUUUAGCAGCACUGUCCGGCACAGGGACCAACCACCUCUUCUGCCGCAUCAUUUCCCUACACCGACCAGCCCUCUGUACAGGGACAAGCAUCUCCACAGGGAGGGAGCAGCAAGGGCAAAAGGCACGCAAAUAACGUUGUUAAAUACACCCUAAAAGGCUUUGUGGGCCACAAUAAUGACCAGCUACGUUUUCAAAUCAGUUCAUUUCCUGCCUGGCUUUGGACGAGCCAAUCAAACUCUCACCGCUGUUAAGUGCAUGGGAAAAUGACACACCUCUCCCGUAGGCAGCCAGGACAGUGCUGGGCAGAGCAGGUGCCAGCCAGGAUAUAAUCACACAAAUUGAUUGUGUGACCAGGGUCUUAUUCGGGCGUCACAGCUGAGGAUAAACCUCGUGUGAUUUGGCAUGACACACCCACCAUUAAGGACCACGGUCGUAGAACGUGUGUUGAACCGACGUCCACGCAGCCCUCAGACCGCGCUGGUUGGAACCUGUGCCCUGGCACGCAAGGUCUCAGCCUCCCAGGUAGUGGGAAGACACGUCCCGGCAAGCCAAGGACCGUGGCAGACACCGGGGGCCCCCAGAAGCUGGAGACUCCCACGUGCAGAAGUCCCUGCUGUGAGUACUCGAGCCUGGGGAAGGCAGACUGGGUUCACCGUCUUGGCCUAGGAGUGAAAGAGCAAAUACGAACAAUAAAAAAAACCCUGAGGUGUAAGGUA